GCCUGGGCAGAGUGAGACUCCGUCUCAGAAAUAUAAUAAUAAUGGCCGUAAGGAGCGUGCAUUUCUAAACCAAUGCUCGCAGAUGUGCAUACGGGGCCCUCUCCUGCUGCCAUCUGUUACACAGGUCUGUCAUCUUCCCACUUGGAUUUGAGGACUCUUGUCUUUCCUGGGGACACGUGAUUGGAUUACUUCAUCCAGCUUGCUCAGCCUCUGCUCUUCUGGGGAAAGAAGUUGUGACACAGGAUUUCCAUCAUUUCUCUAUCACAGUUGCCUCAGGAAGCGGGGAAGGAGGGGGAGCAGCGCUGUGGCCAGAACAUAACCUGAUGACCCCCUUGUGUCUCAGAUCAUCGGGCACUGGGACUAGUGGAGGCUGUCCUUGUAGCACUUGGCGCAGAACCAAGAGGAACACCGUUUCUGCCCUGGCUCUGACACAGCCAGCAUUUGGCCAGGUGCCUACUGUAUGCAUCAGGUACUGCCCUUAGCACUUUCCCCAUGUUAACUCAUUCCAACCUUCACAAUGACCCUGUGAGGUAAAGACUUACUACCGAGGUGUUGUUAGACCCACAACCUGAACUGUCACCCCAGAGAAGAGAAGACUGAGCUGAGCCAGAGCUGGUAGAACCAAGACCACAGUGCUCUGAAGCUUUAACAUGGUCUGGCUGACCCCAGGACUGACCUUCCCCCUGCCUCAUCUCCAUUCAGCUGCCUUGAUAUCUUGAGCUGAGAAGGAGGUGUGUGUUCAGGAUCUCAGUGGCAUCCUACACUGUGUAACAAGUGAAUGUGUGAGUAUGAACACACCGCAUAGGAAAAGGGAGAGAAGCCAGGAGCUCACGCUGGAUCUGAUCAUGUCAGGACAACUGAUUGAAAAAAAUCAGUCAGUGAUUUAGGUAUGGGACUCUGAACCACUGGUUUUGUUUCCACCCUUUGUUCUUCUCCAAAUAGAAUGAUUUUAUCUUGCUAAUAUUAAUAGGUAACCAGCUAUAAUGUUGUCCAGGCAGUGUGCUAAGUUUUUAAGUUGCGUUCUCAUCAAAUCCUUGCAGCAAUUCUACCAGGCAAUGUCUUCAUUGUACAAAGGAGAAAACGAAGGCUUAAAGAGUUAAGUACUUGUACAAAUAGCAGCUGGAUAUUUGAAUUCUGACACAUCUCUCCAGAGGCCACGCUCUCAGACUACACUAACUGUCCCCCACCUAGAUUCUUUUCCUGCACUUCUCUGUGUGCUGAGAAAUGGUGGUCAUGGAACCAGUGCUAGCCGGGAGGGCAUCUCAUGUGUGUAAGCCAUUGCCCCAGUGGUGGGCUUGCAGAGAAAGGACUGGAUACCCAGUGUCAUGUCUACUCAACAGCCAUGCAAGACUGGGUUCUUGAAGCUACAGCUCUUCACUGAUUCCUUGAGCAUCCAUGUGACUCUAGAGUUUAAUUAUGCAAGUGCAAGCUUUGCGCUCAAAUACAUGUGCAGUGUAAUUAGAGGAUAGCUGAUGCCUGAUUCACUGGCCUUACAAAUCUGUAGCUGCCCAGAUUUCAACUGUCAAUACAUGCUGAAGUCCUUUUCGGAUCAAAUUUAAGUUCAGAUAAAGAGUAUGUGCUGGGGACACAAUAAAUAUUUGGAAGGAAGAAAAGAUGGAAGGAAAGAAGUAAGGAAGGAGGAAAGGUAGGGUGGAAGGAUCCUCCAAACAGCUGGGUCCUCUGUAGCCUCACAAGGUUGGCAAGAUAAAUCACAGCUCAGCAUAAAGCCUAUGUCAGUGUUUGAUGUUUAAAAAGUGGGGAGGAGAGGCUCAGCCCACAGCCUCUGUGGACAGGUUUUCUUUCAUCUGCUUUCUAGCCAAAGGAUGUGAAGACAAGCUACAGAAACUGAUGGGUUGCAGCUGAGAUAGGUCAGAUUUUCACUCUAGCUCCCUGAACUGGCCACAGGGCCCCUUCGUUCUCUGAUUUCCAUCGUUCCUCUUUCCUCUGAUGGCUGACUCUCCCCACUGUCACUGCAUCUGACUCUUACUGCCUCCUCAGCACCUGCGGCCCCAUCUCCUCCAAGCUCUGAACUGCACAGGCAUCUUCUGAGAUACAGCCAUGUUUCGGUGCCCAGCCGGCUCUUCCUGCAGGUCUUCCUGCUUUCCUGAUGUCCCUCAGCUCACAACCUCUCUUUUCUAGCAGAGCAUAGACAGGAGCUCAUUUCUGGGUGCCUGGUCAUCAUUUCCUUCUUUAGUUCCAUUUUACAAACCCAGCUGUUGUAUGAAAAACAGGGCAUGCUAACCCUGUCUUCCAUCCACUAGGGCGGAGCUGACAGUUAAAACAAGGCUCUUUCCCAGCAAUUAGACCUCCAUUUCUCAGAAGAGGAAAGAGGGGAAGGGUGAACACACAGAAGGGCUCAUUUUCUGUUUGUCAAAGGAAUAAAUGGAUUAAGGAUCCUUGCAUUUCAAGAUUUCAGAGAUGGAGUCUUUGUAAGACAGUGAGUGCUGACUGAGAGGGAGCUGCACCCCAAUCACAGGGCCACGCACCCAGGGACAGUUUGCACCUAUGUGGAUUGUUUCCCAGCCAAAUGAUAUUCUGACCAUUAACUCAGGCAUUUGGGAUUCCCCAGAGAAACCAGAGUAGCAUCACUUGGGGGACUUUAUUUUUAAAAAUAAAAAUUCAAUUCCUUAAAUAG
Non-coding RNA from Macaca mulatta (Rhesus monkey), 2635 nucleotides. NCBI's taxonomy places the organism in Eukaryota, Metazoa, Chordata, Mammalia, Primates, Cercopithecidae. The record is from RefSeq and is a predicted model, not a curated record.